CCUACGGGAGGCAGCAGUGGGGAAUUUUCCGCAAUGGGCGAAAGCCUGACGGAGCAAUACCGCGUGAGGGAAGAAAGCCUACUGGGUUGUAAACCUCUUUUUUCAGGGAGGAAAAAAAUGACGUGUACCUGAAGAAUAAGCAUCGGCUAACUCCGUGCCAGCAGCCGCGGUAAGACGGAGGAUGCAAGUGUUAUCCGGAAUUACUGGGCGUAAAGCGUCUGUAGGUGGUUUAAUAAGUCAACUGUUAAAUCUUGAGGCUUAACUUCAAAACAGCAGUCGAAACUAUUAGACUAGAGUAUAGUAGGGGUAAAGGGAAUUUCCAGUGGAGCGGUGAAAUGCGUAGAUAUUGGAAAGAACACCGAUGGCGAAAGCACUUUACUGGGCUAUUACUAACACUCAGAGACGAAAGCUAGGGUAGCAAAUGGGAUUAGAUACCCCGGUAGUCCUAGCUGUAAACAAUGGAUACUAGAUGUUGAACAGAUCGACCUGUGCAGUAUUAAAGCUAACGCGUUAAGUAUCCCGCCUGGGAAGUAUGCUCGCAAGAGUGAAACUCAAAGGAAUUGACGG
This 567-nucleotide ribosomal RNA is filed under the name uncultured bacterium. RNAcentral describes it as "bacterial SSU rRNA". It matches the Rfam family "Bacterial small subunit ribosomal RNA", at positions 338 to 916 of the family's 1533-position model. The record is from RNAcentral.